CGGGAAUUAGCUCAGAUGGUAGAGCAUUCGCUUUGCAUGUGAGAGGUGGUGGGAUCGACGCCCGCAUUCUCCA
This 73-nucleotide transfer RNA is filed under the name Loxodonta africana (African savanna elephant). It matches the Rfam family "tRNA". Rfam says of the family: Transfer RNA (tRNA) molecules are approximately 80 nucleotides in length. Their secondary structure includes four short double-helical elements and three loops (D, anti-codon, and T loops). Further hydrogen bonds mediate the characteristic L-shaped molecular structure. tRNAs have two regions of fundamental functional importance: the anti-codon, which is responsible for specific mRNA codon recognition, and the 3' end, to which the tRNAs corresponding amino acid is attached (by aminoacyl-tRNA synthetases). tRNAs cope with the degeneracy of the genetic code in two manners: having more than one tRNA (with a specific anti-codon) for a particular amino acid; and 'wobble' base-pairing, i.e. permitting non-standard base-pairing at the 3rd anti-codon position. The record is from Rfam by way of RNAcentral. Lineage: Eukaryota; Metazoa; Chordata; Mammalia; Proboscidea; Elephantidae.